UGUGAGGGCAAGACUGCCUUAAAAAUAAAUGGAAGUAAACGGGGGAGCUGCGGUUUUUCUCGACAAAAACUCGAUAAAGAUUACAUUUAUCAACCGAUUUCAGAGAUGCCCAUGCUGCCGACGAGUCAGGUAUGUUUUCCUCUGUCCCAAUGUGAGAGUUAUGGAGAGUUGCCCGCUCCAAUAUGGCAGCGACGUUGACGUGCGGACGUGCGGCCAAUGAGGCGUCUAGUUUCUGAAAAGGAUCAGCUGACAGGAGAGAUCAGCGUGAGGGCGUGAGACAGAGAAGCCACAUAGUUUGAGAGUAGUGGAGACAAAACUAAAGAAAUAAAGGAUGGAUUUAUUGUUCAUAUUUUUUAAAUAAUGUUUAUACAUGUUCUAAUUUUAAAUUUUUAUUAAUUUCUGAAGAACGCCAUGAUCAGAGCUGUUUUUCUUGUGUGUUUUGGGUUUCGUAAUAACGGAGAUGGAAUGUAAAUGCACAGUUUAUGCAACUGAAAGAGCAAAAAGUUGGGCUAAGAGACUAAAUAUCCUAUGACAAUUAUGUUGCAUAUCGAGGCUGAGAAAAGAGCACAACACUGCAGACAACAGCGAAGACGCUGAUCCCGAAGCCUGCUCCACGAUGGCACACCUCGCAGCUGGAUUGAGACCUCUCUGCUCAGCUGAUCCACUCUCUUCAUGCCUCAGAGUCGCAGCACUUCUGGUCCUGUUCCCUUGCCGCCAUCCGGCGAUUCUGAAAGAGCUUAUUUCUAGCAAUACUGUACCAGACAGCACAUUACUCUCAGCUUGGCAUCAGUGCAGUUCCUCCAGUGCACAGCUGUACUGAAACUAAACAGAGAUGGCACAAACCCCGAACAAGGUGCCAUUAGUGAGAUGUCCAAGACAUGCAUUGUUGGUGGACCUCCAGUAACAGGAGGCCUUUAAUCACCCCCCGGAGCCGUGUGAUGGACGUUUUAUUAUGGAUGCGCGCACUUUAUUUCUCGUCUUCUGAACUGUUUACAAUCCCAUUGAAAGGCUUGGAGGCCCAGGACCAUUUUUAUGCGUCCUAUAUAACAACAGGUUUAAUGCAUCUAAGGUCAGAAAACACUGUAAUUUCGCCAGAAUAUACAUUUAUACAUAGUCAUUUGUCCAUGAUUUUGAAAUGGUUCGUUUGAUUCGGUUCUGAGCGAAAUGUCUGUAAACCCUUCCCUUCCAAAAUCCUACUCUGCUCUGAUUGGUCAGCUGGCCAAGCCUGUUGUGAUUGGCACAAAGAGGAGCACUUGAUCAGAAGCCAACGAAGAUAAAAGGCAAGAUUAGAGAAGCAGUCCUCGGUAAAAUGACAAGCACAACAAAAGUUUUGAAUUGUAUUGCUAUGGUAUCAUGGAACACAGCAUCUUCUUGACACAGAGAGUGUUCGUAUUUCGUGGGUAGGCAGGGAUUUUGCUAAUGUGUUACCCAGUGACGUAUACCAGUAACAGGCAGACGAUUCGAAAAUAUAACGACUCAUUAAGGCGAUUCUGAGUCGACUCUUUCUUUUGAGAGACAAUAUCUUUAUUUAUCAUGCACAUUUUUGAUUAACAGCUUUGCAGACUGUUUACAUUGAAGGAUAGUUACCUUAUAUUUUUCAAUAACCCAUAUGACCUGUAUUUUAAUAUAACUCCGAUUGGAUUCAUCUGAAAGAAGAAAGUCACAUACACCUAGGAUGCUUUGAGGUUGAGUAAAACACAGGCUAAUUUUCAUUUUUGGGUGAACUAACCCUUUAAGGUGCACACUGCAAUCAGUUACUUGCUUAAUGUAGAAGUAUAAUAUAGGAUUAUUUACUAUGUGGACAAAGGGACAGUUCACAAAAAAAAGUCAUGGCAUUUACUCGCCCUCAUGUCAUUUCCAAAACCAUCUUUAACACAAAAAGAUUUUCAGUCCCCCUUCACUUUCAUUGCAACUUUUUUCUCCAUGCGAUAAUGAUGAUGACUGAGCCUGUAAAAAAACGUAUUAAUGAAUACUAUUUUUUCAUUUCAGGAGUACCUUGUAAAAAGGUGUUACCAGCGACCUGCAUGUGCCAGAGGUGUAUAAGGACUUUGACAGCACUGUCCCUUUAUUGACCACAAUGGCGAUGUCCAGUGAUGAUUCGUUGGUGGAUUCUGCUUUUGGUAAAGUUCAGGCUGGGAGUGUUCUGUCAUACCAACAGCCAGCAGCAACAACACGUAACAUUACUCCACAUCAAGAUGUCCCACCACAACCACCUCUGCCACUAGAUGGUUACAACCUUGACCCAUCUGUGUGCUUAUAGUACAUAGUAAACAUGAAAUACUACACAUGAAGUCACUUGCUGUAACUCUGGUAACACCACACACGAUUAAGCAUGCCACCAAAGACCAGAGUGCAUCGAUAGAUUAGCACUCCAUUAGAAAGCAACAAGUAACAUCAUCCUGAUUUAAACAUGUUUGCCAUAAAUGGGGCAGAGCUCUGCUAAACACUUUGCUGAAAGUAUCUACUAAUAGUACUCACCAGACAGCACUUGAACUGGAAUCUGCAGUGGUGGAGGAAUGCUGUCUACUCCAUGGAGCAUUUUAUGUGCCCAAAUGUAAAAUGUUAUGUUGACUGCCCUUAAAGGGAUACUCCGUCCCAAAAUGAAAAUUUUGUCAUUAUUCACUUUACCCCAUGUCGUUCCAAAC
Cyprinus carpio carpio is the source of this 2645-nucleotide long non-coding RNA. The record is from Ensembl. NCBI's taxonomy places the organism in Eukaryota, Metazoa, Chordata, Actinopteri, Cypriniformes, Cyprinidae.